This 72-nucleotide transfer RNA is filed under the name Candidatus Woesearchaeota archaeon. RNAcentral describes it as "tRNA-Thr". It matches the Rfam family "tRNA". From Rfam's summary of the family: Transfer RNA (tRNA) molecules are approximately 80 nucleotides in length. Their secondary structure includes four short double-helical elements and three loops (D, anti-codon, and T loops). The record is from RNAcentral. Lineage: Archaea; Nanobdellati; Candidatus Woesearchaeota.
GCUCCCUUGGCGCAGCGGUAGCGCGCGACAUUGGUAAUGUCGAGGUCCCGAGUUCAAAUCUCGGAGGGGGCU